UGACGCCUGUGAGGGAUGACGGCCUUCGGGUUGUAAACCUCUUUCAGUAGGGAAGAAGCGAAAGUGACGGUACCUAGCAGAAGAAGCACCGGCUAACUACGUGCCAGCAGCCGCGGUAAUACGUAGGGUGCGAGCGUUAUCCGGAAUUAUUGGGCGUAAAGAGCUCGUAGCGGUUUGUCGCGUCUGUCGUGAAAGUCCGGGGCUUAACCCCGGAUCUGCGGUGGGUACGGGCAGACUAGAGUGCAGUAGGGGAGACUGGAAUUCCUGGUGUAGCGGUGGAAUGCGCAGAUAUCAGGAGGAACACCGAUGGCGAAGGCAGGUCUCUGGGCUGUAACUGACGCUGAGGAGCGAAAGCAUGGGGAGCGAACAGGAUUAGAUACCCUGGUAGUCCAUGCCGUAAACGUUGGGCACUAGGUGUGGGGACCAUUCCACGGUUUCCGCGCCGCAGCUAACGCAUUAAGUGCCCCGCCUGGGGAGUACGGCCGCAAGGCUAAAACUCAAAGGAAUUGACGGGGGCCCGCACAAGCGGCGGGAGCAUGCGGAUUAAUUCGAUGCAACGCGAAGAACCUUACCAAGGCUUGACAGUUCUCGAU
This 593-nucleotide ribosomal RNA is filed under the name Micrococcus sp. UST020129-027. RNAcentral describes it as "bacterial SSU rRNA". It matches the Rfam family "Bacterial small subunit ribosomal RNA", at positions 392 to 995 of the family's 1533-position model. The record is from RNAcentral. Lineage: Bacteria; Bacillati; Actinomycetota; Actinomycetes; Micrococcales; Micrococcaceae.